RNAcentral lists this ribosomal RNA (380 nucleotides) under uncultured cyanobacterium. RNAcentral describes it as "bacterial SSU rRNA". It matches the Rfam family "Bacterial small subunit ribosomal RNA", at positions 376 to 770 of the family's 1533-position model. Lineage: Bacteria; Bacillati; Cyanobacteriota. The record is from RNAcentral.
CGCAAGCCUGACGGAGCAAGACCGCGUGGGGGAGGAAAGCCUUUGGGUUGUAAACCCCUUUUCUCAGGGAAGAAGAAAGUGACGGUACCUGAGGAAUCAGCCUCGGCUAACUCCGUGCCAGCAGCCGCGGUAAUACGGAGGAUGCAAGCGUUAUCCGGAAUUAUUGGGCGUAAAGCGUCCGCAGGUGGCUUGUCAAGUCCGCUGUCAAAGACUGGGGCUUAACUCCGGGCAGGCAGUGGAAACUGACAGGCUAGAGUGCAGGAGGGGUAGAGGGAAUUCCCAGUGUAGCGGUGAAAUGCGUAGAUAUUGGGAAGAACACCAGUGGCGAAGGCGCUCUACUGGGCCACAACCGACGCUGAGGGACGAAAGCUAGGGGAGCG